RNAcentral lists this ribosomal RNA (253 nucleotides) under uncultured bacterium. Its description in RNAcentral is "partial 16S ribosomal RNA". It matches the Rfam family "Bacterial small subunit ribosomal RNA", at positions 524 to 776 of the family's 1533-position model. The record is from RNAcentral.
UACGGAGGGGGCUAGCGUUGUUCGGAAUUACUGGGCGUAAAGCGCACGUAGGCGGCUUUGUAAGUUAGAGGUGAAAGCCCGGGGCUCAACCCCGGAAUUGCCUUUAAGACUGCAUCGCUAGAAUCCGGGAGAGGUGAGUGGAAUUCCGAGUGUAGAGGUGAAAUUCGUAGAUAUUCGGAAGAACACCAGUGGCGAAGGCGGCUCACUGGACCGGCAUUGACGCUGAGGUGCGAAAGCGUGGGGAGCAAACAGG